GGGGAAUAUUGGACAAUGGGCGCAAGCCUGAUCCAGCCAUGCCGCGUGCAGGAUGAAGGCCUUCGGGUUGUAAACUGCUUUUGUACGGAACGAAAAGGUGCCUUCUAAUAAAGGGCGCUCAUGACGGUACCGUAAGAAUAAGCACCGGCUAACUACGUGCCAGCAGCCGCGGUAAUACGUAGGGUGCGAGCGUUAAUCGGAAUUACUGGGCGUAAAGCGUGCGCAGGCGGUUUUGUAAGACAGAGGUGAAAUCCCCGGGCUCAACCUGGGAACUGCCUUUGUGACUGCAAGGCUGGAGUGCGGCAGAGGGGGAUGGAAUUCCGCGUGUAGCAGUGAAAUGCGUAGAUAUGCGGAGGAACACCGAUGGCGAAGGCAAUCCCCUGGGCCUGCACUGACGCUCAUGCACGAAAGCGUGGGGAGCAAACA
RNAcentral lists this ribosomal RNA (426 nucleotides) under uncultured bacterium. RNAcentral's name for it is "bacterial SSU rRNA". It matches the Rfam family "Bacterial small subunit ribosomal RNA", at positions 356 to 774 of the family's 1533-position model. The record is from RNAcentral.